This is a long non-coding RNA of Ictalurus punctatus (channel catfish), 883 nucleotides long. NCBI's taxonomy places the organism in Eukaryota, Metazoa, Chordata, Actinopteri, Siluriformes, Ictaluridae. The record is from Ensembl.
CCUGAACAGCAGCAAAGGACCAACUAAUCAGCUGCAUCAUUGCCCUAGCCGGAGAAUACGUAAUCAUUGCGAGACUGUUUGGUAAUCAUGCUGAACAGUAGAGCUCUCUGCUGCUAGCUUAACGGAUAAAGGCAUCGCUAUAACAGCAGAGAUGAAAACAGCGGCUUUUCGUGUUUGAAACGGCUCGUAAGAUGCAGCUCGUUUCUGCCUGGAAAUAAAUGCAGUGCAAGACUGACGUAAUAAAUGCACACACGAGUGGUCACUGAAGACACAUUCACGAUGCCAGGUGUAAACGGAUAUGUGUUUUGCUGGAAUCGUAUGGAAGUAUUUUCCAAAUGAAAAUGCAAACCGAAAUAGCAACAGCAAUAACUGCUAUUAUUAUAUAAUUGCUAUUAUCAUAUAAUUUCUAUUAUUAAUAAUUGGUAGUUCUCUUCCUCAGAGUUGUGUAUGGAGACUGCCAAGAUUAAAACGGAAUCGCAAACCGACGUCGGCACAAUCGUCUUAUUCGGCACAUUUUCCCUCUUGGCUGUCGACCGCUAGGCGCUCUAAACUGAUGUCACUUCCAAAUACAAACACACCCUAUAGUAUACUCCCACCCCCAACACUGAUUGACAGGUUUCUUAUGCGUUGUAAAUGUAAAUACAAAGGGAACUGCAAUUCCAUUUGAGUUUUGGCAGGCUCCAUCCACAAUAUCAAGGAAGUGAAUAGAAAACGGGGGCCCAGUUGUUCGAAAAGUUUCAUCUGGUUCAGAAGGAUCCGGAUUUGAAAAUCCCACAUUUUGCUAUCCAGGAUCAUGUAAAUGGUCUUAUAACAUCAUUGGAGCCAGUCAACAUUGGAGUGUGUUAUUUGACAAGUUUUAAAGUUUUAUUACAUUUUGUUCCUG